RNAcentral lists this ribosomal RNA (1860 nucleotides) under Escherichia coli KTE225. Its description in RNAcentral is "bacterial LSU rRNA". It matches the Rfam family "Bacterial large subunit ribosomal RNA", at positions 1088 to 2925 of the family's 2925-position model. Lineage: Bacteria; Pseudomonadati; Pseudomonadota; Gammaproteobacteria; Enterobacterales; Enterobacteriaceae. The record is from RNAcentral.
GACAGCCAGGAUGUUGGCUUAGAAGCAGCCAUCAUUUAAAGAAAGCGUAAUAGCUCACUGGUCGAGUCGGCCUGCGCGGAAGAUGUAACGGGGCUAAACCAUGCACCGAAGCUGCGGCAGCGACGCUUAUGCGUUGUUGGGUAGGGGAGCGUUCUGUAAGCCUGCGAAGGUGUGCUGUGAGGCAUGCUAGAGGUAUCAGAAGUGCGAAUGCUGACAUAAGUAACGAUAAAGCGGGUGAAAAGCCCGCUCGCCGGAAGACCAAGGGUUCCUGUCCAACGUUAAUCGGGGCAGGGUGAGUCGACCCCUAAGGCGAGGCCGAAAGGCGUAGUCGAUGGGAAACAGGUUAAUAUUCCUGUACUUGGUGUUACUGCGAAGGGGGGACGGAGAAGGCUAUGUUGGCCGGGCGACGGUUGUCCCGGUUUAAGCGUGUAGGCUGGUUUUCCAGGCAAAUCCGGAAAAUCAAGGCUGAGGCGUGAUGACGAGGCACUACGGUGCUGAAGCAACAAAUGCCCUGCUUCCAGGAAAAGCCUCUAAGCAUCAGGUAACAUCAAAUCGUACCCCAAACCGACACAGGUGGUCAGGUAGAGAAUACCAAGGCGCUUGAGAGAACUCGGGUGAAGGAACUAGGCAAAAUGGUGCCGUAACUUCGGGAGAAGGCACGCUGAUACGUAGGUGAAGCGCCUCGCGCGUGGAGCUGAAAUCAGUCGAAGAUACCAGCUGGCUGCAACUGUUUAUUAAAAACACAGCACUGUGCAAACACGAAAGUGGACGUAUACGGUGUGACGCCUGCCCGGUGCCGGAAGGUUAAUUGAUGGGGUUAGCGGUAACGCGAAGCUCUUGAUCGAAGCCCCGGUAAACGGCGGCCGUAACUAUAACGGUCCUAAGGUAGCGAAAUUCCUUGUCGGGUAAGUUCCGACCUGCACGAAUGGCGUAAUGAUGGCCAGGCUGUCUCCACCCGAGACUCAGUGAAAUUGAACUCGCUGUGAAGAUGCAGUGUACCCGCGGCAAGACGGAAAGACCCCGUGAACCUUUACUAUAGCUUGACACUGAACAUUGAGCCUUGAUGUGUAGGAUAGGUGGGAGGCUUUGAAGUGUGGACGCCAGUCUGCAUGGAGCCGACCUUGAAAUACCACCCUUUAAUGUUUGAUGUUCUAACGUUGGCCCCUAAUCGGGGUUGCGGACAGUGUCUGGUGGGUAGUUUGACUGGGGCGGUCUCCUCCUAAAGAGUAACGGAGGAGCACGAAGGUUGGCUAAUCCUGGUCGGACAUCAGGAGGUUAGUGCAAUGGCAUAAGCCAGCUUGACUGCGAGCGUGACGGCGCGAGCAGGUGCGAAAGCAGGUCAUAGUGAUCCGGUGGUUCUGAAUGGAAGGGCCAUCGCUCAACGGAUAAAAGGUACUCCGGGGAUAACAGGCUGAUACCGCCCAAGAGUUCAUAUCGACGGCGGUGUUUGGCACCUCGAUGUCGGCUCAUCACAUCCUGGGGCUGAAGUAGGUCCCAAGGGUAUGGCUGUUCGCCAUUUAAAGUGGUACGCGAGCUGGGUUUAGAACGUCGUGAGACAGUUCGGUCCCUAUCUGCCGUGGGCGCUGGAGAACUGAGGGGGGCUGCUCCUAGUACGAGAGGACCGGAGUGGACGCAUCACUGGUGUUCGGGUUGUCAUGCCAAUGGCACUGCCCGGUAGCUAAAUGCGGAAGAGAUAAGUGCUGAAAGCAUCUAAGCACGAAACUUGCCCCGAGAUGAGUUCUCCCUGACUCCCUGAGAGUCCUGAAGGAACGUUGAAGACGACGACGUUGAUAGGCCGGGUGUGUAAGCGCAGCGAUGCGUUGAGCUAACCGGUACUAAUGAACCGUGAGGCUUAACCUU